GAACUGCGAUAAGUAAUGUCGAAUUGCAGAAUUCAGUGAACCAUCGAAUCUUUGAACGCACAUUGCGCCCGCCAGCAUUCUGGCGGGCAUGCCUGUCCGAGCGUCAUU
RNAcentral lists this ribosomal RNA (108 nucleotides) under Grosmannia abietina. RNAcentral describes it as "partial 5.8S ribosomal RNA". It matches the Rfam family "5.8S ribosomal RNA", at positions 50 to 154 of the family's 154-position model. Rfam says of the family: 5.8S ribosomal RNA (5.8S rRNA) is a component of the large subunit of the eukaryotic ribosome. It is transcribed by RNA polymerase I as part of the 45S precursor that also contains 18S and 28S rRNA. Functionally, it is thought that 5.8S rRNA may be involved in ribosome translocation. Lineage: Eukaryota; Fungi; Ascomycota; Sordariomycetes; Ophiostomatales; Ophiostomataceae. The record is from RNAcentral.